GACAGAGGGUGCAAACGUUGUUCGGAAUUACUGGGCGUAAAGCGCGUGUAGGCGGCUAAGUAAGUCGGGCGUGAAAUCCCACGGCUCAACCGUGGAAGUGCACUCGAAACUGCAUAGCUAGAGUCCUGGAGAGGAAGGUGGAAUGCUUGGUGUAGAGGUGAAAUUCGUAGAUAUCAAGCGGAACACCGGUGGCGAAGGCGGCCUUCUGGACAGUGACUGACGCUGAGACGGACGAAAGCGUGGGGAGCAAACAGG
This 255-nucleotide ribosomal RNA is filed under the name uncultured bacterium. RNAcentral's name for it is "partial 16S ribosomal RNA". It matches the Rfam family "Bacterial small subunit ribosomal RNA", at positions 524 to 776 of the family's 1533-position model. The record is from RNAcentral.